This 445-nucleotide ribosomal RNA is filed under the name uncultured bacterium. Its description in RNAcentral is "partial 16S ribosomal RNA". It matches the Rfam family "Bacterial small subunit ribosomal RNA", at positions 354 to 796 of the family's 1533-position model. The record is from RNAcentral.
GUGAGGAAUAUUGGUCAAUGGGCGGGAGCCUGAACCAGCCAAGUCGCGUGAAGGAAGAAGGAUCUAUGGUUCGUAAACUUCUUUUGCAGGGGAAUAAAGUGCAGGACGUGUCCUGUUUUGUAUGUACCCUGAGAAUAAGGAUCGGCUAACUCCGUGCCAGCAGCCGCGGUAAUACGGAGGAUCCGAGCGUUAUCCGGAUUUAUUGGGUUUAAAGGGUGCGUAGGUGGUUUGAUAAGUCAGCGGUGAAAGUUUGCAGGUUAACUGUAAAAAUGCCGUUGAAACUGUCUGACUUGAGUGUAAAUGAGGUAGGCGGAAUGCGUGGUGUAGCGGUGAAAUGCAUAGAUAUCACGCAGAACUCCGAUUGCGAAGGCAGCUUACUAAGCUACAACUGACACUGAAGCACGAAAGCGUGGGGAUCAAACAGGAUUAGAAACCCGGGUAGUCC